UUUGAAUAUUGUGGGAUUAAUUACAAAUUAACUCUGCUUCAAUUAAAAUUAGACAUAUAAAUGGAAUGAUUGCUCCUCCAUCCUACAUUGAUACAAUCUUAAGGUUAAUUAAGUCAGAUCCACACAUGGUAUAUAUAUAACUUGAUUGUUGUGAACCGACAGAAUCACAUGGUCAUCCUACAGGAGAAAUUAUACCCGCCAUUAAUAUGAAGAAUUACGUUGUUAUUGGCGCAUUUCUUUCACUUUGUAUAGUAAUACAAGGUUUUCGACUGUAUGGGGGACCAGGAGAUAUGUUUGCUCAAACUAUACCUUUUAACAGAAAAAUCAAAAGUGCAGACCAAAUAAAGUUCAAUCCAUUCCUACAGAGUCAACAGGAUAACUACAUUGACAACUACAUGCAUAAGUUGGUCUACUUAUUGGCAGACAUCGGAAAGAAACGAUAACAUUAUUAUAUGAUAUAAACAAUAAAUUGUUAACACAAAUUGUUGUCUGU
Molecule: long non-coding RNA, 493 nt
Organism: Mytilus californianus (California mussel)
Lineage: Eukaryota; Metazoa; Mollusca; Bivalvia; Mytilida; Mytilidae
Exons: 3
Source: RefSeq, a predicted model, not a curated record